AGCAGCCGCGGUAAUUCCAGCUCCAAUAGCGUAUAUUAAAGUUGCUGCAGUUAAAAAGCUCGUAGUUGAAUUUCGGGACCAUCAUGUCGGUCGUGCCUCGGUACGUACUGGUAUUGUUGGUUUCUCCCUUCUGACGAACCAUGAUGUCAUUUAUUUGGUGUUGUGGGAAAUCAGGACUGUUACUUUGAAAAAAUUAGAGUGUUUAAAGCAGGCUCACGCUUGAAUACAUUAGCAUGGAAUAAUGAAAUAGGACGUUUGAUUCUAUUUUGUUGGUUUCUAGGAUCGACGUAA
This 291-nucleotide ribosomal RNA is filed under the name uncultured Glomus. RNAcentral describes it as "partial small subunit ribosomal RNA". It matches the Rfam family "Eukaryotic small subunit ribosomal RNA", at positions 569 to 865 of the family's 1831-position model. The record is from RNAcentral. Lineage: Eukaryota; Fungi; Glomeromycota; Glomeromycetes; Glomerales; Glomeraceae.